GACGAACGCUGGCGGCGUGCUUAACACAUGCAAGUCGAACGCUGAUGGCCCAGCUUGCUGGGUUGGAUGAGUGGCGAACGGGUGAGUAACACGUGAGUAACCUGCCCUCUUCUUUGGGAUAACGGUCGGAAACGGCUGCUAAUACCGGGUAUUCACUGUCCUUCGCAUGGGGGGUGGUGGAAAGGUUUUUUCUGGUGGGGGAUGGGCUCGCGGCCUAUCAGCUUGUUGGUGGGGUGAUGGCUUACCAAGGCUUUGACGGGUAACCGGCCUGAGAGGGUGACCGGUCACAUUGGGACUGAGAUACGGCCCAGACUCCUACGGGAGGCAGCAGUGGGGAAUAUUGCACAAUGGGCGAAAGCCUGAUGCAGCGACGCCGCGUGAGGGAUGGAGGCCUUCGGGUUGUAAACCUCUUUCGCUCAUGGUCAAGCCGCAACAGUGGUUGUGGUGAGGGUAGUGGGUAAAGAAGCACCGGCUAACUACGUGCCAGCAGCCGCGGUAAUACGUAGGGUGCGAGCGUUGUCCGGAAUUAUUGGGCGUAAAGGGCUUGUAGGCGGUUUGUCGCGUCUGCCGUGAAAUCCUCUGGCUUAACUGGGGGCGUGCGGUGGGUACGGGCAGGCUUGAGUGCGGUAGGGGAGACUGGAGCUCCUGGUGUAGCGGUGGAAUGCGCAGAUAUCAGGAAGAACACCGGUGGCGAAGGCGGGUCUCUGGGCCGUUACUGACGCUGAGGAGCGAAAGCGUGGGGAGCGAACAGG
RNAcentral lists this ribosomal RNA (752 nucleotides) under uncultured Actinomyces sp. RNAcentral's name for it is "bacterial SSU rRNA". It matches the Rfam family "Bacterial small subunit ribosomal RNA", at positions 28 to 776 of the family's 1533-position model. Lineage: Bacteria; Bacillati; Actinomycetota; Actinomycetes; Actinomycetales; Actinomycetaceae. The record is from RNAcentral.